GGGUUGUGAGGUUAAGCGACCAAGCGUACACGGUGGAUGCCCUGGCAGUCAGAGGCGAUGAAGGACGUGCUAAUCUGCGAUAAGCGCCGGUAAGGUGAUAUGAACCGUUAUAACCGGCGAUUUCCGAAUGGGGAAACCCAGUGCAAUYCGUUGCACUAUCGUUAAGCCAAUACAUAACUUAACGAAGCGAACCGGGGGAACUGAAACAUCUAAGUACCCCGAGGAAAAGAAAUCAACCGAGAUUCCCCCAGUAGCGGCGAGCGAACGGGGAACAGCCCAGAACCAGCAUCAGUUUGUGUGUCAGUGGAAGCGUCUGGAAAGGCGCAGGGUACAGGGUGAUACUCCCGUACACAAAGGCACACCUUCUGUGAGUUCGACGAGUAGGGCGGGACACGUGGUAUCCUGUCUGAAUAUGGGGGGACCA
This 424-nucleotide ribosomal RNA is filed under the name Cedecea colo. RNAcentral's name for it is "partial 23S ribosomal RNA". The record is from RNAcentral. Lineage: Bacteria; Pseudomonadati; Pseudomonadota; Gammaproteobacteria; Enterobacterales; Enterobacteriaceae.